CCCGCUGAACUUAAGCAUAUCAAUAAGCGGAGGAAAAGAAACUAACAAGGAUUCCCCUAGUAACUGCGAGUGAAGCGGGAAAAGCUCAAAUUUGAAAUCUGGCGGCUCUGCCGUCCGAGUUGUAUUCUGGAGAAGCGUCUUCCGUGCCGGACCGUGUACAAGUCCCUUGGAACAGGGCGUCGUAGAGGGUGAGAAUCCCGUCUUUGACACGGAUCCCCGGUGCUAUGUGAUACGCUCUCGAAGAGUCGAGUUGUUUGGGAAUGCAGCUCAAAAUGGGUGGUAAAUUCCAUCUAAAGCUAAAUAUUGGCGAGAGACCGAUAGCGAACAAGUACCGUGAGGGAAAGAUGAAAAGCACUUUGGAAAGAGAGUAAAACAGUACGUGAAAUUGUUGAAAGGGAAACGCUUGAAGUCAGUCGCGUCUGCCGGAACUCAGCCUUGCUCAUGCUUGGUGCACUUUCCGGUCUGACGGGCCAGCAUCGGUUUUGGGCGGCGGACACUGGCGAGGGGAAGGUGGCAGCUCCGGCUGUGUUAUAGCCCCCCGUCGCAAACGUCGUCUGGGACCGAGGAAUCCGGCGCAAGCCUGGGAUGCUGGCGUAAUGGCUUUAAGCGACCCGUCUUGAAACACGG
RNAcentral lists this ribosomal RNA (627 nucleotides) under uncultured fungus. RNAcentral's name for it is "eukaryotic LSU rRNA". It matches the Rfam family "Eukaryotic large subunit ribosomal RNA", at positions 24 to 664 of the family's 3401-position model. Lineage: Eukaryota; Fungi. The record is from RNAcentral.